Molecule: ribosomal RNA, 161 nt
Filed under: Prevotella sp. lc2012
Lineage: Bacteria; Pseudomonadati; Bacteroidota; Bacteroidia; Bacteroidales; Prevotellaceae
Description: partial 16S rRNA. Bacterial SSU
Rfam family: Bacterial small subunit ribosomal RNA
Source: RNAcentral
UUACAAUGAAGAGUUUGAUCCUGGCUCAGGAUGAACGCUAGCUACAGGCUUAACACAUGCAAGUCGAGGGGCAGCAUUAUCGAAGCUUGCUUUGAUAGAUGGCGACCGGCGCACGGGUGAGUAACGCGUAUCCAACCUUCCCCUUAGUAGGGCAUAGCCCG